GAUGAACGCUGGCGGCGUGCCUAAUACAUGCAAGUCGAGCGAGCAGACGAGGAGCUUGCUCCUCUGACGUUAGCGGCGGACGGGUGAGUAACACGUGGAUAACCUACCUAUAAGACUGGGAUAACUUCGGGAAACCGGAGCUAAUACCGGAUAAUAUAUUGAACCGCAUGGUUCAAUAGUGAAAGACGGUUUUGCUGUCACUUAUAGAUGGAUCCGCGCCGCAUUAGCUAGUUGGUAAGGUAAUGGCUUACCAAGGCAACGAUGCGUAGCCGACCUGAGAGGGUGAUCGGCCACACUGGAACUGAGACACGGUCCAGACUCCUACGGGAGGCAGCAGUAGGGAAUCUUCCGCAAUGGGCGAAAGCUUGACGGAGCAACGCCGCGUGAGUGAUGAAGGUCUUCGGAUCGUAAAACUCUGUUAUUAGGGAAGAACAAAUGUGUAAGUAACUAUGCACGUCUUGACGGUACCUAAUCAGAAAGCCACGGCUAACUACGUG
Molecule: ribosomal RNA, 497 nt
Filed under: uncultured bacterium
Lineage: Bacteria
Description: partial 16S ribosomal RNA
Rfam family: Bacterial small subunit ribosomal RNA
Source: RNAcentral